AAUAAAGUAAGCUAGUUUUAAUAAGCUUUUAGGCCCAUACCCUAAAGAUGAGAUUUAUCUCCUUUCUUA
This 69-nucleotide transfer RNA is filed under the name Oligolophus tienmushanensis. RNAcentral describes it as "tRNA-Met". The record is from RNAcentral. Lineage: Eukaryota; Metazoa; Arthropoda; Arachnida; Opiliones; Phalangiidae.